GACCGGCGUACACGUGCUCCAAUGGAGCACGCAUGUGCCGCGACUCCCAUGACUGGUAGAAAGCUGCGUGCUAAUUCCAGACGGAGCUUUCGCGCGUCACAUCGAUGUUUCCUCCUCGCAUGUGUCGACGCGGCGGCGGCGGAGGCGGCAGUGACGGCUCGGCUACAUCAGCGGCGUUUUACUACUACGGUAGUGGAAGUAAGUAGCAGAACGUAACGUGGAUGGAUAACGGUGUCUUCCUCCGGAGAAAGGAGAUGUUCGCGGCGUGCACGUGAAGUCCAGCGAGCCAGUGUCGCGGAAACUGCGAGAGAAGACGCAAGCCUGCUCGACGGCACCUGGUCCGCUCCUUAGGCGUUCCUGAGGAAGAGUCGAGAACUCGCUGAAAGCUGCGUUUCCCUGAGGCCCUGCUCGCCGGAGGCGUCCCGUUUCGUCGCGCGUCCACUCAGCUUUGCAGUCGACCUUGGGAUUGAUCAUGGACAGAACACGACUGGCAUAUGUCACCGCUGCUGCAGUUGGCGCCGGCACGGCGGUUUUCUUCAUCUGGUGGUGGUGGACCAGAAGACAAAAGCAUCAGCCACCGUCGAAGUGGCGUAAGGUCGGGGAACUGAGCGACUUGUGCGUCUUCCCGGUCAAAUCGCUCGGUGCAGUCCGUCUCACGUCAAUGGAAUGCACGCUGUUAGGCCUAAAGUCCGGUUGGAUGAGAGAUCGCACACUGAUGGUGAUCGAUCUUGACGGACGAUUUAUCACCGCCAGACAACUGCCGAAAAUGGUCCAGGUGUCACCUAAUAUCUCCGGUUCUAUACUAACACUCCGCGCACCAGGGAUGAUGUCGGUGUCGGUGGACCUUGCUCAGCUGCGUGGCAAGGGCUUCCGUGCUGCUGUAUGGGGCCAAGCAGUGCCGGCAUGCGAUUGCGGCGAAGAACCUGCUCGAUGGUUGUCACGCUUCCUUCUUCAGGAGGACGUCGGUCUUAGGCUGGUCUAUUAUACGCUAAACUGGUCGUCGAGGGACGUGAGACAGAUAAACAAGGGUUUCCCUUUGACCGAGGCGAUUGAUACCGGAGCCUAUUCGGACGCGACGAGUUAUACCCUGAUCACCGAGGCCUCGAUAACGGAUCUUAAUAGUCGACUGGAAGAACCAGUCACGCCGCAGCAAUUUCGCAUGAAUUUCGUGGUCAAGGGUGCCACCGCUUACGAGGAAGAUAAAUGGGACUGGGUGAAGAUCGGGGACGUGAUAUUCAGAAAUGUCAAGCCGUGCACGAGGUGCAUCUUCACCACGGUGGAUCCGGAAACCGGCACGAAGAAUUCUAAGGUGGAGCCUUUAAAGACCUUGAAGAGUUACAGGCAGAUAACUGACCCCGAGCUGCGACCUCAUGUUGGCAAUAGUCCGAUUAUGGGUAUUCACCUUGGACUCAGAGGACCCAGCAGAACAGUCCGUUUGGGCGACCCCAUUUACGUGGGUAUACCGGAGAAGGAGGAGGAGGAAACUCCGCCUUUGACUUCGCCGUCAUAGCUGUGGCGUUGGGACUCUUGCGAACAUUUGGAACACGAACGAGGCACCGUUCCGACACACGUAGACGAGGGAAACGAAGAAGCGAAAUCCAAGAUCGACGAUCGCGAUGACAUAAGCGUGCAAUGUUCGUAAAAAUGGUCACAGCUACACUACACGUACAGUUGUAUGGAAAAUGUUAAUGAAUCCCGACACAUUUGACGGAUCAGGCUGGUCAGAGCUAUAAGGUACUAUGGUAAUCGCUGAUGUGUCCUCUGCGACAAGCUUCGCACUGUGGACAAGCAACGAUGUGGGAUUUAAUUAAGUCCACGCGCAAUCUGGGUCUACGAUGUUUCUAUUGUUACGGAAUUGCGUUGGUAGGAAUUGCGUCUUAGAAAUUCGGGAAUAUAUUUUGUUAAACUGUUAGGGUAUAUAAGUGUGUAUCUUGGUAUCUUCAUUCUACGUGUGCAAAUGCGCAGGUGAUGCGUGAGUGAUGCGUGUGUAAAUAAUGUUUACAUGAAACGAUCACGUGAAACGAUUGACUUAGAAUAGAGGGGAACAAAUCUCGAUUCAUUUUGAGAUACGAGACUGGUAGAACUUCGCUAAACGAGAGAAACGACCACAUUUUCAAGCUGUUUCCGCGUAGAUGGACGAAUAUGUUCGAUCUGAAAAAUAUAUCAGGCAAAUGUGUUCGAUAUAACGAACCCGAUAAACAUCAGGUAACAAUAAUAUUUCCUCAACGUUAUAAUCUCCCUUGUGCUCAACAAUGUGAGUGCAACGCAACAGAGAUUGUACGUAGGAAUUGCUUUACUAAGCGAGAAAUCAUAACAACGACGUAACGUUACGUCACUUUGUAAUAACGUAGUAUAUACUGUUAUCCGAUGUUUCCUGGGAGGUGGCUCAUAUUUUAAUACUUCGUCGAAUGUCAAUAAUGUAUACGGCCUCAAAACAAAUGGUAAAGAUAAUGAUUUUGUAAUAACGCGCGUGUAUCGCACAAUAGGGUUUUGCAGAACCAGCGGCAGCCAGCCAGAUAGCACAAUAUAUCCUGGGAUCAUCUUGGACGUCCUCAGGAAGUCUCGGGACAGUUUCCAGGAAUUUUAGAUACGUUCAGGAUCAUUGUGGGAUGUUUAGUGAUGUCCGCACUCGCGAGCUGUACCGAAAUUUCAACGUCACAGAGCUCAAAGCUGAAGUCAGAGCUACAUCGGAAACUACCGGUUGUGCAAAAUGUCAGCCGGCAGAUGGGCAGCGCGUUUGAUCAGAAUGACACAGCGGAUAGUCAUCUUAGCCAUCUGUGUUCGCAUCGAGACUCCUGAUUCCUCACUGCGACCAUUCUGAUUUAUGACAUCAGAAGCGAGGAGAAACUCUUUACAAAGAUUCUUGCAACAUACGUUGAAAUAAAAGGAUAACGCAAAAUGACGAUUACAAUCAAUCGAACAAAUUUGCAAACACUUUCCUUUUGCUUAAACACCAACAAUAAUUAAGCGGAAAAUUACCGUGAGAAAAUUGUGAGAAAAGAGGUUAAAAAAGGCAGGUUGCAUGUCACGUUGAUUUUAUGUUUAUUUAUUGGUUGUUCGAACGAAAAAGAAAGUGCGCUUGGACUGUUUUACAGAUCUGCUCGAUUGAUCGCAAGCGUCAUUUUAUGGAUAUAUCUCAUUUCAGCGUAUUCUUCAUGAAUUCUUAGCGUGUAUCUUCUCGUCUCCGCCAUUGUCAACCAAGUGGUGGAGGAUUACGAGCUUCAAGCCUUAUCUACAAUAUGUGUUCUCUGCUUUCUGUUUUUCUUCUUUCAAAGGAUAAAGCAUAAGAAACAGGAAGCAGGGAGCACAUUGUAGGUCGGGUUUUAAACUCAUAUUCUGUCGACGGAGUCCGCUGACAUAACCUUGACAGCAGAUCGGCGGCAGAAAUUGAACGGGAUCUGCGGUGUAAUCCAUUUAAAUGUGAUCAAACGGUUACGGUGAACGACAAAUCCCGUUCGGCUUCUGUAGGCGAUCAACCAUAUCGUGUUCUGUAAGCAGAUCCUGCUAGAUUUCCGUUAGCGAGCUGACCGCAAAAUUUUCCACCACGCGAAAUCUGUUCGCACAAGUUCAGCUAGCCGUGGCUGAGUGUGAAUCUGUCACCUUGCUUGAUAUCCGGACCAUCGAAUAUUUUUCUAAUUAUAUUUUUGUACCGUAGUGCGGCAAAUUCGAAUAAAUUAUGAGCGUUUCGUCUCACGAAUGCAAGUAA
RNAcentral lists this unclassified non-coding RNA (3706 nucleotides) under Harpegnathos saltator (Jerdon's jumping ant). RNAcentral describes it as "mitochondrial amidoxime-reducing component 1, transcript variant X1". The record is from RNAcentral. Lineage: Eukaryota; Metazoa; Arthropoda; Insecta; Hymenoptera; Formicidae.